GACGAACGCUGGCGGCGUGCCUAAUACAUGCAAGUUGAGCGCUGAAGGUUGGUACUUGUACCAACUGGAUGAGCAGCGAACGGGUGGGUAACGCGUGGGGAAUCUGCCUUUGAGCGGGGGACAACAUUUGGAAACGAAUGCUAAUACCGCAUAAAAACUUUAAACACAAGUUUUAAGUUUGAAAGAUGCAAUUGCAUCACUCAAAGAUGAUCCCGCGUUGUAUUAGCUAGUUGGUGAGGUAAAGGCUCACCAAGGCGAUGAUACGUAGCCGACCUGAGAGGGUGAUCGGCCACAUUGGGACUGAGACACGGCCCAAACUCCUACGGGAGGCAGCAGUAGGGAAUCUUCGGCAUUAGACGAAAGUCUGACCGAGCAACGCCGCGUGAGUGAAGAAGGUUUUCGGAUCGUAAAACUCUGUUGGUAGAGAAGAACGUUGGUGAGAGUGGAAAGCUCAUCAAGUGACGGUAACUACCCAGAAAGGGACGGCUAACUACGUG
RNAcentral lists this ribosomal RNA (497 nucleotides) under uncultured bacterium. RNAcentral describes it as "partial 16S ribosomal RNA". It matches the Rfam family "Bacterial small subunit ribosomal RNA", at positions 28 to 507 of the family's 1533-position model. The record is from RNAcentral.